GAUGAACGCUGGCGGCGUGCCUAAUACAUGCAAGUCGAGCGAACAGACGAGGAGCUUGCUCCUCUGACGUUAGCGGCGGACGGGUGAGUAACACGUGGAUAACCUACCUAUAAGACUGGGAUAACUUCGGGAAACCGGAGCUAAUACCGGAUAAUAUAUUGAACCGCAUGGUUCAAUAGUGAAAGACGGUUUUGCUGUCACUUAUAGAUGGAUCCGCGCCGCAUUAGCUAGUUGGUAAGGUAACGGCUUACCAAGGCAACGAUGCGUAGCCGACCUGAGAGGGUGAUCGGCCACACUGGCACUGAGACACGGUCCAGACUCCUACGGGAGGCAGCAGUAGGGAAUCUUCCGCAAUGGGCGAAAGCCUGACGGAGCAGCGCCGCGUGAGUGAUGAAGGUCUUCGGAUCGUAAAACUCUGUUAUUAGGGAAGAACAAAUGUGUAAGUAACUAUGCACGUCUUGACGGUACCUAAUCAGAAAGCCACGGCUAACUACGUG
This 497-nucleotide ribosomal RNA is filed under the name uncultured bacterium. Its description in RNAcentral is "partial 16S ribosomal RNA". It matches the Rfam family "Bacterial small subunit ribosomal RNA", at positions 28 to 507 of the family's 1533-position model. The record is from RNAcentral.